UAAUACGAAGGUGGCAAGCGUUACUCGGAAUUACUAGGCGUAAAGGGCAGGUAGGUGGUUUGGUUAGUCUGUUGUGAAAGCUCCUUGCUUAACGGGGAGAGGUCAACAGAUACUGCCAGACUUGAGUAUAGGAGAGGGUACUGGAAUUCCCGGUGUAGCGGUGAAAUGCGCAGAGAUCGGGAGGAACACCAAUGGCGAAAGCAGGUACCUGGACUAUUACUGACACUCAGCUGCGAAAGCUAGGGGAGCAAACAGGAUUAGAUACCCUGGUAGUCCUAGCCGUAAACGAUGCACAUUAGGCGUGAGGGGUAUCGACCCCCUUCGUGCCGAAGCAAACGCAUUAAAUGUGCCGCCUGGGGAGUACGGCCGCAAGGUUG
This 377-nucleotide ribosomal RNA is filed under the name uncultured bacterium. RNAcentral's name for it is "bacterial SSU rRNA". It matches the Rfam family "Bacterial small subunit ribosomal RNA", at positions 521 to 896 of the family's 1533-position model. The record is from RNAcentral.